GGGUAGAUGUCCGAGCGGUUUAAGGAGCACGCCUGGAACGCGUGUAAGGUGCAAGCCUUCGUGGGUUCAAAUCCCACUUUACCCGCCA
Molecule: transfer RNA, 88 nt
Filed under: Campylobacter gastrosuis
Lineage: Bacteria; Pseudomonadati; Campylobacterota; Epsilonproteobacteria; Campylobacterales; Campylobacteraceae
Description: tRNA-Ser
Rfam family: tRNA
About the family: Transfer RNA (tRNA) molecules are approximately 80 nucleotides in length. Their secondary structure includes four short double-helical elements and three loops (D, anti-codon, and T loops).
Source: RNAcentral